Molecule: ribosomal RNA, 103 nt
Filed under: Peromyscus maniculatus bairdii (prairie deer mouse)
Lineage: Eukaryota; Metazoa; Chordata; Mammalia; Rodentia; Cricetidae
Source: RNAcentral
UAUGGCCACACCAUUCUGAAUGCACCUGAUUUAGAAGCUAAGCAGAGUGGGGCCCAGUUAAUACUUGGAUGGGAAAAACAUAGAGUUUUUGGUGGGGUUAUGU